This 406-nucleotide unclassified non-coding RNA is filed under the name Bombus terrestris (buff-tailed bumblebee). RNAcentral's name for it is "misc RNA ENSBTSG00005033272.1". Lineage: Eukaryota; Metazoa; Arthropoda; Insecta; Hymenoptera; Apidae. The record is from RNAcentral.
GUCGAGCCGCGUAAUCCAUAUUCGGGUGUCGUUUAUUUGACUACUUGAGAAGGAUCGUCGUAGGUAUUUGAAAAGAUAUUCCAUAAUAAUAAAACUGUUGAAUUGUUAUAAAAGUAAUACGAAAAUGGUUUAUUAAAAAAUUAUUUAGAAUGUAAAAUUUUAAAGCAUUCUAUACAUAGUUGAGGUUGGUCGGGACAAUUUGGACAAUAAGUUGUUGUUUUCCUCAAAUUCUUUCGUGCCUUUGUUCGGUCCAUUCGACGUCUUUUAUUUGCAUAACAUAUUUGCAUGCGCGUCUAAUGCUUCUUCCGGAAUCAUUUUUCCGAACGGCGAUAUUAUGCUGACUCCGUCGAAGACGAGGAUUUUUUGUAUUUUCAGACAACUCUAAUAAUUUUGCAACUAAUAAUUG